AAGUCUGACGGAGCAACGCCGCGUGAGUGAUGAAGGUUUUCGGAUCGUAAAGCUCUGUUGUUAGGGAAGAACAAGUACCGUUCGAAUAGGGCGGUACCUUGACGGUACCUAACCAGAAAGCCACGGCUAACUACGUGCCAGCAGCCGCGGUAAUACGUAGGUGGCAAGCGUUGUCCGGAAUUAUUGGGCGUAAAGGGCUCGCAGGCGGUUUCUUAAGUCUGAUGUGAAAGCCCCCGGCUCAACCGGGGAGGGUCAUUGGAAACUGGGGAACUUGAGUGCAGAAGAGGAGAGUGGAAUUCCACGUGUAGCGGUGAAAUGCGUAGAGAUGUGGAGGAACACCAGUGGCGAAGGCGACUCUCUGGUCUGUAACUGACGCUGAGGAGCGAAAGCGUGGGGAGCGAACAGGAUUAGAUACCCUGGUAGUCCACGCCGUAAACGAUGAGUGCUAAGUGUUAGGGGGUUUCCGCCCCUUAGUGCUGCAGCUAACGCAUUAAGCACUCCGCCUGGGGAGUACGGUCGCAAGACUGAAACUCAAAGGAAUUGACGGGGGCCCGCACAAGCGGUGGAGCAUGUGGUUUAAUUCGAAGCAACGCGAAGAACCUUACCAGGUCUUGACAUCCUCUGACAAUCCUAGAGAUAGGACGUCCCCUUCGGGGGCAGAGUGACAGGUGCUGCAUGCUCUCUCGUCAGAAA
Molecule: ribosomal RNA, 693 nt
Filed under: Bacillus tequilensis
Lineage: Bacteria; Bacillati; Bacillota; Bacilli; Caryophanales; Bacillaceae
Description: bacterial SSU rRNA
Rfam family: Bacterial small subunit ribosomal RNA
Source: RNAcentral